AGGCUUUGAAGUGUGGACGCCAGUCUGCAUGGAGCCGGCCUUGAAAUACCACCCUUUAAUGUUUGAUGUUCUAACGUGGACCCGUGAUCCGGGUUGCGGACAGUGUCUGGUGGGUAGUUUGACUGGGGCGGUCUCCUCCUAAAGAGUAACGGAGGAGCACGAAGGUUGGCUAAUCCUGGUCGGACAUCAGGAGGUUAGUGCAAUGGCAUAAGCCAGCUUGACUGCGAGCGUGACGGCGCGAGCAGGUGCGAAAGCAGGUCAUAGUGAUCCGGUGGUUCUGAAUGGAAGGGCCAUCGCUCAACGGAUAAAAGGUACUCCGGGGAUAACAGGCUGAUACCGCCCAAGAGUUCAUAUCGACGGCGGUGUUUGGCACCUCGAUGUCGGCUCAUCACAUCCUGGGGCUGAAGUAGGUCCCAAGGGUAUGGCUGUUCGCCAUUUAAAGUGGUACGCGAGCUGGGUUUAGAACGUCGUGAGACAGUUCGGUCCCUAUCUGCCGUGGGCGCUGGAGAACUGAGGGGGGCUGCUCCUAGUACGAGAGGACCGGAGUGGACGCAUCACUGGUGUUCGGGUUGUCAUGCCAAUGGCACUGCCCGGUAGCUAAAUGCGGAAGAGAUAAGUGCUGAAAGCAUCUAAGCACGAAACUUGCCCCGA
RNAcentral lists this ribosomal RNA (651 nucleotides) under Salmonella enterica. Its description in RNAcentral is "partial 23S ribosomal RNA". It matches the Rfam family "Bacterial large subunit ribosomal RNA", at positions 2152 to 2802 of the family's 2925-position model. RNAcentral also lists the same sequence under 2 other names. Lineage: Bacteria; Pseudomonadati; Pseudomonadota; Gammaproteobacteria; Enterobacterales; Enterobacteriaceae. The record is from RNAcentral.